Molecule: ribosomal RNA, 2902 nt
Filed under: Klebsiella pneumoniae
Lineage: Bacteria; Pseudomonadati; Pseudomonadota; Gammaproteobacteria; Enterobacterales; Enterobacteriaceae
Description: 23S ribosomal RNA
Rfam family: Bacterial large subunit ribosomal RNA
Source: RNAcentral
GGUUAAGCGACUAAGCGUACACGGUGGAUGCCCUGGCAGUCAGAGGCGAUGAAGGACGUGCUAAUCUGCGAAAAGCGUCGGUAAGGUGAUAUGAACCGUUAUAGCCGGCGAUGUCCGAAUGGGGAAACCCAGUGCAAUUCGUUGCACUAUCGUUAACUGAAUACAUAGGUUAACGAGGCGAACCGGGGGAACUGAAACAUCUAAGUACCCCGAGGAAAAGAAAUCAACCGAGAUUCCCCCAGUAGCGGCGAGCGAACGGGGAGCAGCCCAGAGUCUGAAUCAGCUUGUGUGUUAGUGGAACGGUCUGGAAAGUCCGACGGUACAGGGUGAUAGUCCCGUACACCAAAAUGCACAGGUUGUGAACUCGAAGAGUAGGGCGGGACACGUGGUAUCCUGUCUGAAUAUGGGGGGACCAUCCUCCAAGGCUAAAUACUCCUGACUGACCGAUAGUGAACCAGUACCGUGAGGGAAAGGCGAAAAGAACCCCGGCGAGGGGAGUGAAAAAGAACCUGAAACCGUGUACGUACAAGCAGUGGGAGCACCUUCGGGUGUGACUGCGUACCUUUUGUAUAAUGGGUCAGCGACUUAUAUUCUGUAGCAAGGUUAACCGUAUAGGGGAGCCGCAGGGAAACCGAGUCUUAACUGGGCGUUAAGUUGCAGGGUAUAGACCCGAAACCCGGUGAUCUAGCCAUGGGCAGGUUGAAGGUUGGGUAACACUAACUGGAGGACCGAACCGACUAAUGUUGAAAAAUUAGCGGAUGACUUGUGGCUGGGGGUGAAAGGCCAAUCAAACCGGGAGAUAGCUGGUUCUCCCCGAAAGCUAUUUAGGUAGCGCCUCGUGAAUUCAUCUUCGGGGGUAGAGCACUGUUUCGGCUAGGGGGUCAUCCCGACUUACCAACCCGAUGCAAACUACGAAUACCGAAGAAUGUUAUCACGGGAGACACACGGCGGGUGCUAACGUCCGUCGUGAAGAGGGAAACAACCCAGACCGCCAGCUAAGGUCCCAAAGUCAUGGUUAAGUGGGAAACGAUGUGGGAAGGCACAGACAGCCAGGAUGUUGGCUUAGAAGCAGCCAUCAUUUAAAGAAAGCGUAAUAGCUCACUGGUCGAGUCGGCCUGCGCGGAAGAUGUAACGGGGCUAAACCAUGCACCGAAGCUGCGGCAGCGACACUAUGUGUUGUUGGGUAGGGGAGCGUUCUGUAAGCCUGCGAAGGUGUGCUGUGAGGCAUGCUGGAGGUAUCAGAAGUGCGAAUGCUGACAUAAGUAACGAUAAAGCGGGUGAAAAGCCCGCUCGCCGGAAGACCAAGGGUUCCUGUCCAACGUUAAUCGGGGCAGGGUGAGUCGACCCCUAAGGCGAGGCCGAAAGGCGUAGUCGAUGGGAAACAGGUUAAUAUUCCUGUACUUGGUGUUACUGCGAAGGGGGGACGGAGAAGGCUAUGUUAGCCGGGCGACGGUUGUCCCGGUUUAAGCAUGUAGGCUGGUUGUCCAGGCAAAUCCGGAUAAUCAAGGCUGAGGUGUGAUGACGAGGCACUACGGUGCUGAAGUAACAAAUGCCCUGCUUCCAGGAAAAGCCUCUAAGCAUCAGGUAACAUCAAAUCGUACCCCAAACCGACACAGGUGGUCAGGUAGAGAAUACCAAGGCGCUUGAGAGAACUCGGGUGAAGGAACUAGGCAAAAUGGUGCCGUAACUUCGGGAGAAGGCACGCUGGUGUGUAGGUGAAGUCCCUGCGGAUGGAGCUGAGACCAGUCGAAGAUACCAGCUGGCUGCAACUGUUUAUUAAAAACACAGCACUGUGCAAACACGAAAGUGGACGUAUACGGUGUGACGCCUGCCCGGUGCCGGAAGGUUAAUUGAUGGGGUUAUCCGUAAGGAGAAGCUCUUGAUCGAAGCCCCGGUAAACGGCGGCCGUAACUAUAACGGUCCUAAGGUAGCGAAAUUCCUUGUCGGGUAAGUUCCGACCUGCACGAAUGGCGUAAUGAUGGCCAGGCUGUCUCCACCCGAGACUCAGUGAAAUUGAACUCGCUGUGAAGAUGCAGUGUACCCGCGGCAAGACGGAAAGACCCCGUGAACCUUUACUAUAGCUUGACACUGAACAUUGAGCCUUGAUGUGUAGGAUAGGUGGGAGGCUUUGAAGCGUGGACGCCAGUCUGCGUGGAGCCAACCUUGAAAUACCACCCUUUAAUGUUUGAUGUUCUAACGUUGGCCCCUGACCGGGGUUGCGGACAGUGUCUGGUGGGUAGUUUGACUGGGGCGGUCUCCUCCCAAAGCGUAACGGAGGAGCACGAAGGUUAGCUAAUCCUGGUCGGACAUCAGGAGGUUAGUGCAAUGGCAUAAGCUAGCUUGACUGCGAGCGUGACGGCGCGAGCAGGUGCGAAAGCAGGUCAUAGUGAUCCGGUGGUUCUGAAUGGAAGGGCCAUCGCUCAACGGAUAAAAGGUACUCCGGGGAUAACAGGCUGAUACCGCCCAAGAGUUCAUAUCGACGGCGGUGUUUGGCACCUCGAUGUCGGCUCAUCACAUCCUGGGGCUGAAGUAGGUCCCAAGGGUAUGGCUGUUCGCCAUUUAAAGUGGUACGCGAGCUGGGUUUAGAACGUCGUGAGACAGUUCGGUCCCUAUCUGCCGUGGGCGCUGGAGAAUUGAGGGGGGCUGCUCCUAGUACGAGAGGACCGGAGUGGACGCAUCACUGGUGUUCGGGUUGUCAUGCCAAUGGCACUGCCCGGUAGCUAAAUGCGGAAGAGAUAAGUGCUGAAAGCAUCUAAGCACGAAACUUGCCCCGAGAUGAGUUCUCCCUGAGACUUUAAGUCUCCUGAAGGAACGUUAAAGACGAUGACGUUGAUAGGCCGGGUGUGUAAGCGCAGCGAUGCGUUGAGCUAACCGGUACUAAUGAACCGUGAGGCUUAACCUU